This 253-nucleotide ribosomal RNA is filed under the name uncultured bacterium. RNAcentral's name for it is "partial 16S ribosomal RNA". It matches the Rfam family "Bacterial small subunit ribosomal RNA", at positions 524 to 776 of the family's 1533-position model. The record is from RNAcentral.
UACGUAGGGGGCAAGCGUUGUCCGGAAUCAUUGGGCGUAAAGAGCGUGUAGGCGGUCCGGUAAGUCGGUUGUGAAAGUCCAGGGCUCAACCCUGGGAUGCCGACCGAUACUGUCGGACUAGAGUUCGGAAGAGGCGAGUGGAAUUCCCGGUGUAGCGGUGAAAUGCGCAGAUAUCGGGAGGAACACCAGUAGCGAAGGCGGCUCGCUGGGCCGUUCCUGACGCUGAGACGCGAAAGCUAGGGGAGCGAACAGG